CCCUUAGAUGUUCUGGGCCGCACGCGCGCUACACUGACGAAUUCAACGAGCUUAUAACCUUGGCCGAAAGGUCUAGGUAAUCUCCAAAUUUCGUCGUGAUGGGGAUAGAUUAUUGCAAUUAUUAAUCUUCAACGAGGAAUGCCUAGUAAGCGCAAGUCAUCAGCUUGCGUUGAUUACGUCCCUGCCCUUUGUACACACCGCCCGUCGCUCCUACCGAUUGAAUGGUCCGGUGAAGCGUUCGGACCGUGGCCUUUGGACGGUUCGCCGUCUGUUGGCUGCGGGAAGUUCGUUAAACCUUAUCAUUUAGAGGAAGGAGAAGUCGUAACA
Molecule: ribosomal RNA, 327 nt
Filed under: uncultured eukaryote
Lineage: Eukaryota
Description: partial 18S ribosomal RNA
Rfam family: Eukaryotic small subunit ribosomal RNA
Source: RNAcentral